RNAcentral lists this ribosomal RNA (478 nucleotides) under uncultured bacterium. Its description in RNAcentral is "bacterial SSU rRNA". It matches the Rfam family "Bacterial small subunit ribosomal RNA", at positions 365 to 833 of the family's 1533-position model. The record is from RNAcentral.
UUCGCAAUGCCCGAAAGGGUGACGAAGCGACGCCGCGUGGGUGAGGAAGGCCUUCGGGUUGUAAAGCCCUGUCAGGAGUUAAGAAAUGUAAGUGCGCUAAUAUCGCAUUUAUUUGACGAAGGCUCCAAAGGAAGUCACGGCUAACUCUGUGCCAGCAGCCGCGGUAAUACAGAGGUGGCAAGCGUUGUUCGGAAUUAUUGGGCGUAAAGAGCACGUAGGUGGGUUUGUAAGUCAGAUGUGAAAGCCUUCUGUUCAACGGAAGAAUUGCAUCUGAAACUGCGAGUCUUGAGUGUAGGAGGGGAGAAUGGAACUUCUGGUGGAGCGGUGAAAUGCGUAGAUAUCAGAAGGAACGCCGGCGGCGAAAGCGAUUCUCUGGCCUAUUACUGACACUCAGUGUGCGAAAGCUAGGGGAGCAAACGGGAUUAGAUACCCCGGUAGUCCUAGCCGUAAACGAUGGGCACUAAGUAGAGGGGUUUUA